Molecule: ribosomal RNA, 249 nt
Filed under: Triticum aestivum (bread wheat)
Lineage: Eukaryota; Viridiplantae; Streptophyta; Magnoliopsida; Poales; Poaceae
Description: partial small subunit ribosomal RNA
Source: RNAcentral
AUGCUUGUCACUUUGGGCCAGGGUGCCAUGAUUUUAGAUCUGAACCGUUUAUGUUAUCACCAUUAUUAUAUCUAUGUUCUAGAUCCAAUCUUGCAAGUUAUAGCACUACAAAAAAAAACAUCCGUGACAUUUUGGGCCGAACAAUUUUUUUUCAAUCAUACAUAUGACACUUCUAUGACGAUAAUUGUGACAAAACCCGGUAUCAUCAUAGAUGUGGUGGGCUCCUACAUCUAUGACAAAAAAUCAUGA